AAAAAAAAAAAAAAAAAAACUUUUUAGACUCAAUUGUAAGCAGAGUUUUGAAACUUAUUUUAAAUAUUUUGGGUUUUUAUAAUAAAUCACGUCAAGUUACCAAAAAAAAAAUACAUUUUUAAUCAAUGUAUUUAAAACAAUGCUUUUUCUCAACUACAACUACAAUAACAAUGCCACAUGAGACUAUGAAGGGACAAGAUCCUCCACACUACUGAUCCCUCCUCACCUCCCCACCCUAGACAGUACUAAAUUCUCAACUACCUUGCUUUGUCCAAUUAUGCUUCCAUCUCAAAACCCCUUCACCAGAAUUUUUUUAGUAACAUAAUAGAAUUUUUUUAGUAACAUAAUAGAAUUUUUUUAGUAACAUAAGUAGAAAAAAAAUAUUGAGCAUUUACAGCACCAUUGGAAGACAGAUGGGGAAAAACUGUAAAAACCAAUUUACAAUGAUAAAAGCAACAAAAAAACUAGAAACUAAGAUGUGGCUAUUAGUUAAAAGCAAACAAUGGAAUCCUAAUUAAUAGCAAGAUCUAUCGAAAGCUAUAAAAGAUGUACUAACUAGAUCUUAAAUUCAUUUUUCAGCAAAAAGUAUUAUGUUGAUCAUAUACUAAGUGCCUGUUUAGCAUUGUGGUUUGAAGGCCAAAACUGCUUUUCAGAGAAAAAAAAAAAGGAAAAAACCAUUUUAGAUGCCCUUGAAAAAAUCAAUUUGGAAAAACUUAUUUUGUUAUUUUAGUGUUCUAAUAAUUAAAACUCAUCAAAUUUUAUUUUAAUCAUUUUUUAAUACUCCCUGACUAAUAUAUUUGAAGAAGCGCUUUUCUCAACAACAAUGCCAAAAACAGACCCCAAAUUCGUGUUUUUAUCUGCUAUCUUUAUACUUUAGCAAAUUAAAUUUUGAGAAAGAGAGCUCAUGAUCACCCAGAUGAUUUCAGUGAGUGCAAUUCAUCCCAACUGGGAUUACUUUAAUUGAUAAACCUGCAGAUAAUUGCAUACUAGGGAUCUUGGGUUUCACAACAAGACCCUUAUUUCUAAUGACAAGAAAAGGGUAGAUUCAAUUAUUAGUUUGAUAAUAUAUAAAAUCACAAACAAAGAGUUCAAACCUGAGGAACCAAAACCGUGAAAG
Molecule: unclassified non-coding RNA, 1117 nt
Filed under: Hevea brasiliensis (rubber tree)
Lineage: Eukaryota; Viridiplantae; Streptophyta; Magnoliopsida; Malpighiales; Euphorbiaceae
Source: RNAcentral